Molecule: ribosomal RNA, 460 nt
Filed under: uncultured bacterium
Lineage: Bacteria
Description: partial 16S ribosomal RNA
Rfam family: Bacterial small subunit ribosomal RNA
Source: RNAcentral
CCUACGGGUGGCAGCAGUGAGGAAUAUUGGUCAAUGGACGCAAGUCUGAACCAGCCAUGCCGCGUGCGGGAAGACGGCUCUAUGGGUUGUAAACUGCUUUUAUAAGGGGAUAAAGCGCGGUACGUGUACCGGGUUGUAAGUAUCUUAUGAAUAAGGAUCGGCUAACUCCGUGCCAGCAGCCGCGGUAAUACGGAGGAUCCGAGCGUUAUCCGGAUUUAUUGGGUUUAAAGGGUGCGUAGGCGGCUGGUUAAGUGAGAGGUGAAAUCCUGUGGCUCAACCACGGCAUUGCCUUUGAUACUGGGGGGCUUGAGUUUGUUUGAGGUAGGCGGAAUGUGUGGUGUAGCGGUGAAAUGCAUAGAGAUCAUACAGAACCCCGAUUGCGAAGGCAGCUUACCAAGCCAUGACUGACGCUGAGGCACGAAAGCGUGGGGAGCAAACAGGAUUAGAUACCCUGGUAGUC